This 206-nucleotide unclassified non-coding RNA is filed under the name uncultured Diversisporaceae. RNAcentral describes it as "sequence contains 18S rRNA gene". Lineage: Eukaryota; Fungi; Glomeromycota; Glomeromycetes; Diversisporales. The record is from RNAcentral.
UACGGUGAUCCUAGAAACCAACAAAAUAGAACCAAACCGUCCUAUUUUAUUAUUCCAUGCUAAUGUAUUCAGACGGAUGCCUGCUUUAAACACUCUAAUUUUUUCAAAGUAACAGUCCUGAUUUCCCCCCACACCAACUGAAUGGCAUGAAGAUUCCUCAGAAGGUAGGAACUCGUCACACCAGUUCAGACAGUUAAGCCUGACCA